This 446-nucleotide ribosomal RNA is filed under the name uncultured soil bacterium. RNAcentral's name for it is "bacterial SSU rRNA". It matches the Rfam family "Bacterial small subunit ribosomal RNA", at positions 27 to 518 of the family's 1533-position model. The record is from RNAcentral.
GGAACGAACGCUGGCGGCAUGCCUAAUACAUGCAAGUCGAACGAGAUCUUCGGAUCUAGUGGCGCACGGGUGCGUAACGCGUGGGAAUCUACCCUUGGGUUCGGAAUAACAGUUGGAAACGACUGCUAAUACCGGAUGAUGACGAAAGUCCAAAGAUUUAUCGCCCAAGGAUGAGCCCGCGUAGGAUUAGCUAGUUGGUGAGGUAAAGGCUCACCAAGGCUACGAUCCUUAGCUGGUCUGAGAGGAUGAUCAGCCACACUGGGACUGAGACACGGCCCAGACUCCUACGGGAGGCAGCAGUAGGGAAUAUUGGACAAUGGGGGCAACCCUGAUCCAGCAAUGCCGCGUGAGUGAUGAAGGCCUUAGGUUGUAAAGGCUCUUUACCCGAGAUGAUAAUGACAGUAUCGGAGAAUAAGCUACCGGCUAACGUCCGUGCCAGCAGCCGC